Molecule: ribosomal RNA, 468 nt
Filed under: uncultured bacterium
Lineage: Bacteria
Description: partial 16S ribosomal RNA
Rfam family: Bacterial small subunit ribosomal RNA
Source: RNAcentral
GACGAACGCUGGCGGCGUGCUUAACACAUGCAAGUCGAACGGAAAGGCCCUGCUUUUGUGGGGUGCUCGAGUGGCGAACGGGUGAGUAACACGUUAGUAACCUUCCCUUGACUUUGGGAUAACUUCAGGAAACUGGGGCUAAUACCGGAUAGGAGCUCCUGCUGCAUGGUGGGGAUUGGAAAGUUUCGGUGGUUGGGGAUGGACUCGCGGCUUAUCAGCUUGUUGGUGGGGUAGUGGCUUACCAAGGCUUUGACGGGUAGCCGGCCUGAGAGGGUGACCGGCCACAUUGGGACUGAGAUACGGCCCAGACUCCUACGGGAGGCAGCAGUGGGGAAUAUUGCACAAUGGGCGGAAGCCUGAUGCAGCAACGCCGCGUGCGGGAUGACGGCCUUCGGGUUGUAAACCGCUUUCGCCUGUGACGAAGCGUGAGUGACGGUAAUGGGUAAAGAAGCACCGGCUAACUACGUG